Molecule: long non-coding RNA, 208 nt
Filed under: Manihot esculenta (cassava)
Lineage: Eukaryota; Viridiplantae; Streptophyta; Magnoliopsida; Malpighiales; Euphorbiaceae
Description: long non-coding RNA (MESC_LNC002348)
Source: RNAcentral
UGUGGACAUGACAACUGUAUUAUGAUGAGAUGUAAAAAUAUUCAGGAUGUUAUGUAAUGAGGUUAUUGAGGAUAGAGUGGUGCUUGACCAUAAUGUAUUGUUAAUCCCUUUUGUAUAUACAUGAUCUUAUGUUAUGAUGUUUAUGUAAACUAACUCAACACAGGUUGUUUUGCCUUUAAGGCUUGAUGAGAUCCCACAGAGGGACUAU